This 213-nucleotide long non-coding RNA is filed under the name Phoenix dactylifera (date palm). Its description in RNAcentral is "long non-coding RNA (PDAC_LNC010158)". Lineage: Eukaryota; Viridiplantae; Streptophyta; Magnoliopsida; Arecales; Arecaceae. The record is from RNAcentral.
ACGUUGGCCUUAGGGUUUUCGAGCUCAAUUAGGCUCUUGGAAAAAAGCAGCUGAAAGCCACUCCAGUAAGAAUUUAGUAAUUGGUGAUGUCUAGGAAAGUUUUACAAUAGUGAGAACUGUUACGGGUAUUGUGGUAUCGGUGUAUCCCUUCUGGCACCACCACACAUCCCGAGACUUUCCUGGUCACUGGUUACUGGAUCACUUAAUUGGUAA